GAUGAACGCUGGCGGCGUGCCUAAUACAUGCAAGUCGAGCGAACAGACGAGGAGCUUGCUCCUCUGACGUUAGCGGCGGACGGGUGAGUAACACGUGGAUAACCUACCUAUAAGACUGGGAUAACUUCGCGAAACCGGAGCUAAUACCGGAUAAUAUAUUGAACCGCAUGGUUCAAUAGUGAAAGACGGUUUUGCUGUCACUUAUAGAUGGAUCCGCGCCGCAUUAGCUAGUUGGCAAGGUAACGGCUUACCAAGGCAACGAUGCGUAGCCGACCUGAGAGGGUGAUCGGCCACACUGGAACUGAGACACGGUCCAGACUCCUACGGGAGGCAGCAGUAGGGAAUCUUCCGCAAUGGGCGAAAGCCUGACGGAGCAACGCCGCGUGAGUGAUGAAGGUCUUCGGAUCGUAAAACUCUGUUAUUAGGGAAGAACAAAUGUGUAAGUAACUAUGCACGUCUUGACGGUACCUAAUCAGAAAGCCACGGCUAACUACGUG
RNAcentral lists this ribosomal RNA (497 nucleotides) under uncultured bacterium. RNAcentral describes it as "partial 16S ribosomal RNA". It matches the Rfam family "Bacterial small subunit ribosomal RNA", at positions 28 to 507 of the family's 1533-position model. The record is from RNAcentral.